RNAcentral lists this ribosomal RNA (433 nucleotides) under uncultured bacterium. RNAcentral describes it as "partial 16S ribosomal RNA". It matches the Rfam family "Bacterial small subunit ribosomal RNA", at positions 29 to 507 of the family's 1533-position model. The record is from RNAcentral.
AACGAACGCUGGCGGCAUGCCUAACACAUGCAAGUCGAACGAGACCUUCGGGUCUUGGGUCCCACGAGUGCGUAACGCGUGGGAACCUGCCCAUAGGUUCAGAAUAACUCCCCGAAAGGGGUACUAAUACCGGAUAAUAUCUUCUGACCAAAGAUUUAUCGCCUUUGGUGGGUCCCGAGUUGGAUUAGGUAUUUGGUAGGGUAAAAGCCUACCAAGGCGACGAUCCAUAGAUGGUCUGAGAGGAUGAUCAGCCACACUUGGACUGAGACACGGCCCAGACUCCUCCGGGAGGCAGCAGUGGGGAAUAGUGGAAAAUGGGGGAAAGCCUGAUCGAGUAAUGCUGCGUGAAUUAUGAAGGCCUUAGGGUUGUAAAGCUCUAUUAACUGGGAUGAUAAUGACAGUACCGAGAGAAUAAGCCACGGCUAACUACGUG